RNAcentral lists this ribosomal RNA (837 nucleotides) under uncultured archaeon. Its description in RNAcentral is "bacterial SSU rRNA". It matches the Rfam family "Archaeal small subunit ribosomal RNA", at positions 21 to 859 of the family's 1478-position model. The record is from RNAcentral.
GGUUACUGCUAUCGGUGUUCGCCUAAGCCAUGCGAGUCAUAUGUUCGUAAGAACAUGGCGUACUGCUCAGUAACACGUGGAUAACCUGCCCUUGGGUCCGGCAUAACCCCGGGAAACUGGGGAUAAUUCCGGAUAACGCACAUAUGCUGGAAUGCUUUAUGCGUAAAAUGGAUUCGUCUGCCCAAGGAUGGGUCUGCGGCCUAUCAGGUAGUAGUGGGUGUAAUGUACCUACUAGCCUACGACGGGUACGGGUUGUGAGAGCAAGAGCCCGGAGAUGGAUUCUGAGACAUGAAUCCAGGCCCUACGGGGCGCAGCAGGCGCGAAAACUUUACAAUGCGGGAAACCGUGAUAAGGGGACACCGAGUGCCAGCAUCCUAUGCUGGCUGUCCGGGUGUGUAAAAUACACCUGUUAGCAAGGGCCGGGCAAGACCGGUGCCAGCCGCCGCGGUAACACCGGCGGCCCGAGUGGUGAUCGUGAUUAUUGGGUCUAAAGGGUCCGUAGCCGGUUUGGUCAGUCCUCCGGGAAAUCUGACAGCUUAACUGUUAGGCUUUCGGAGGAUACUGCCAGACUUGGAACCGGGAGAGGUAAGAGGUACUACAGGGGUAGGAGUGAAAUCUUGUAAUCCCUGUGGGACCACCUGUGGCGAAGGCGUCUUACCAGAACGGGUUCGACGGUGAGGGACGAAAGCUGGGGGCACGAACCGGAUUAGAUACCCGGGUAGUCCCAGCCGUAAACGAUGCUCACUAGGUGUCAGGCAUGGCGCGACCGUGUCUGGUGCCGCAGGGAAGCCGUGAAGCGAGCCACCUGGGAAGUACGGCCGCAAGGCUGAAACUUAA